This 301-nucleotide ribosomal RNA is filed under the name uncultured bacterium. Its description in RNAcentral is "partial 16S ribosomal RNA". It matches the Rfam family "Bacterial small subunit ribosomal RNA", at positions 509 to 807 of the family's 1533-position model. The record is from RNAcentral.
CAGCAGCCGCGGGAAUACGUAGGGUGCAAGCGUUAAUCGGAUUUACUGGGCGUAAAGCGCACGUAGGCGGACUUUUAAGUCAGGGGUGAAAUCCCGGGGCUCAACCCCGGAACUGCCUUUGAUACUGGAAGUCUUGAGUAUGGUAGAGGUGAGUGGAAUUCCGAGUGUAGAGGUGAAAUUCGUAGAUAUUCGGAGGAACACCAGUGGCGAAGGCGGCUCACUGGACCAUUACUGACGCUGAGGUGCGAAAGCGUGGGGAGCAAACAGGAUUAGAUACCCCCGUAGUCCCUGUCUCUUAUAC